UUGCAACAUAGGUAAUGGUAUCUCUUAGACUUCCACUUCGAGUCGCUCCAUUGCUUAGUGGUCGUGUUAUGUCAAAUAGUCAGACUUAUAAAGAUUAAUAGUCUAUUAGGAUUGUAUUAGCUUAAACUUGAGGUUGUGUAAUGAAAACCACUUGUGAUUUUGCAAUUACUUUGAGUUGUUAAAUCUGGUUUUUGGUAUCUGGAUGUUACGUUUUAAA
This is a long non-coding RNA of Theobroma umbraticum, 217 nucleotides long. RefSeq lists it as uncharacterized. The record is from RefSeq and is a predicted model, not a curated record. Lineage: Eukaryota; Viridiplantae; Streptophyta; Magnoliopsida; Malvales; Malvaceae.